GGACUACAAGGGUUUCUAAUCCUGUUUGCUCCCCGCACUCUCGUGCCUCAGCGUCAGAAAUAAACUAGAGAACCGCUUACGCCACAGGUGUUCUUCCAUAUAUCUACGCAUUUCACCGCUACACAUGGAAUUCCGUUCUCUCCGUCUACCCUCUAGAUAGGGAGUUUCAAAUGCAGCUCCGAUAUUGAGUACCGGAAUUUCACAUCUGACUAUCCUAUCCGCCUACGCACCCUUUACGCCCAGUAAAUCCGAUUAAUGCUUGUACCCUCCGUAUUACCGCGGCUGCUGGCAC
RNAcentral lists this ribosomal RNA (292 nucleotides) under uncultured bacterium. Its description in RNAcentral is "partial 16S ribosomal RNA". The record is from RNAcentral.